This 433-nucleotide ribosomal RNA is filed under the name uncultured bacterium. RNAcentral describes it as "partial 16S ribosomal RNA". It matches the Rfam family "Bacterial small subunit ribosomal RNA", at positions 29 to 507 of the family's 1533-position model. The record is from RNAcentral.
AACGAACGCUGGCGGCAUGCCUAACACAUGCAAGUCGAACGAGACCUUCGGGUCUAGUGGCGCACGGGUGCGUAACGCGUGGGAACCUGCCCUUAGGUUCGGAAUAACUCCCCGAAAGGGGUGCUAAUACCGGAUAAUGUCUUCGGACCAAAGAUUUAUCGCCUUUGGAUGGGCCCGCGUUGGAUUAGCUAGUUGGUAGGGUAAAAGCCUACCAAGGCGACGAUCCAUAGCUGGUCUGCUAGGAUGAUCAGCCACACUGGGACUGAGACACGGCCCAGACUGCUACGGGAGGCAGCAGAGGGGAAUAUUGGACAAGGGGCGAAGACCUGAUCCAGCAAUGCCGCGUGAGUGAUGAAGGCCUUAGGGUUGUAAAGCUCUUUUACCCGGGAUGAUAAUGACAGUACCGGGAGAAGAAGCUCCGGCUAACUCCGUG